UAGCUAGUUGGUAGGGUAAGGGCCUACCAAGGCGACGAUCGGUAGCUGGUCUGAGAGGAUGACCAGCCACACUGGAACUGAGACACGGUCCAGACUCCUACGGGAGGCAGCAGUGGGGAAUAUUGGACAAUGGGGGCAACCCUGAUCCAGCAAUGCCGCGUGUGUGAAGAAGGCCUGAGGGUUGUAAAGCACUUUCAGUGGGGAGGAGGAUAUUUUGGUUAAGAGCUGAGAUAUUGGACGUUACCUACAGAAGAAGCACCGGCUAACUCCGUGCCAGCAGCCGCGGUAAUACGGAGGGUGCGAGCGUUAAUCGGAAUAACUGGGCGUAAAGGGUGCGUAGGUGGUUAGAUAAGUUAUCUGUGAAAUCCCCGGGCUCAACCUGGGCAGGUCAGAUAAGACUGUUUGACUCGAGUAUAGGAGAGGGUAGUGGAAUUUCCGGUGUAGCGGUGAAAUGCGUAGAGAUCGGAAGGAACACCAGUGGCGAAGGCGGCUACCUGGCCUGAUACUGACACUGAGGCACGAAAGCGUGGGGAGCAAACAGGAUUAGAUACCCUGGUAGUCCACGCCGUAAACGAUGUCAACUAGCUGUUGGCCUUAUGAAUAAGGUUAGUGGCGC
This 616-nucleotide ribosomal RNA is filed under the name uncultured Legionella sp. Its description in RNAcentral is "bacterial SSU rRNA". It matches the Rfam family "Bacterial small subunit ribosomal RNA", at positions 242 to 849 of the family's 1533-position model. Lineage: Bacteria; Pseudomonadati; Pseudomonadota; Gammaproteobacteria; Legionellales; Legionellaceae. The record is from RNAcentral.